GAUGAACGCUGGCGGCGUGCCUAAUACAUGCAAGUCGAGCGAACAGAUAAGGAGCUUGCUCCUUUGACGUUAGCGGCGGACGGGUGAGUAACACGUGGGUAACCUACCUAUAAGACUGGGAUAACUUCGGGAAACCGGAGCUAAUACCGGAUAACAUUUGGAACCGCAUGGUUCUAAAGUGAAAGAUGGUUUUGCUAUUACUUAUAGAUGGACCCGCGCCGUAUUAGCUAGUUGGUAAGGUAACGGCUUACCAAGGCAACGAUACGUAGCCGACCUGAGAGGGUGAUCGGCCACACUGGAACUGAGACACGGUCCAGACUCCUACGGGAGGCAGCAGUAGGGAAUCUUCCGCAAUGGGCGAAAGCCUGACGGAGCAACGCCGCGUGAGUGAUGAAGGGUUUCGGCUCGUAAAACUCUGUUAUUAGGGAAGAACAAAUGUGUAAGUAACUGUGCACGUCUUGACGGUACCUAAUCAGAAAGCCACGGCUAACUACGUG
RNAcentral lists this ribosomal RNA (497 nucleotides) under uncultured bacterium. RNAcentral's name for it is "partial 16S ribosomal RNA". It matches the Rfam family "Bacterial small subunit ribosomal RNA", at positions 28 to 507 of the family's 1533-position model. The record is from RNAcentral.